RNAcentral lists this ribosomal RNA (575 nucleotides) under unidentified Thermus OPS8A. RNAcentral's name for it is "bacterial SSU rRNA". It matches the Rfam family "Bacterial small subunit ribosomal RNA", at positions 524 to 1100 of the family's 1533-position model. The record is from RNAcentral. Lineage: Bacteria; Thermotogati; Deinococcota; Deinococci; Thermales; Thermaceae.
UACGGAGGGCGCGAGCGUUACCCGGAUUUACUGGGCGUAAAGGGCGUGUAGGCGGCUUGGGGCGUCCCAUGUGAAAGGCCACGGCUCAACCGUGGAGGAGCGUGGGAUACGCUCAGGCUAGACGGUGGGAGAGGGUGGUGGAAUUCCCGGAGUAGCGGUGAAAUGCGCAGAUACCGGGAGGAACGCCGAUGGCGAAGGCAGCCACCUGGUCCACAUGUKACGCUGAGGCGCGAWAGGUGGGGAGCAAACCGGAUUAGAUACCCGGGUAGUCCACGCCCUAAACGAUGCGCGCUAGGUCUCUKGGUUAUCUGGGGGCCGAAGCCAACGCGUUAAGCGCGCCGCCUGGKGAGUACGGCCGCAAGGCUGAAACUCAAAGGAAUUGACGGGGGCCCGCACAAGCGGUGGAGCAUGUGGUUUAAUUCGAAGCAACGCGAAGAACCUUACCAGGCCUUGACAUGCUAGGGAACCUAGGUGAAAGCCUGGGGUGCCCCGCGAGGGGAGCCCUAGCACAGGUGCUGCAUGGCCGUCGUCAGCUCGUGUCGUGAGAUGUUGGGUUAAGUCCCGCAACGAGCGCA